Molecule: ribosomal RNA, 457 nt
Filed under: uncultured bacterium
Lineage: Bacteria
Description: bacterial SSU rRNA
Rfam family: Bacterial small subunit ribosomal RNA
Source: RNAcentral
AGCGAACGUUAGCGGCGGGCCUAACACAUGCAAGUCGAACGCGAAAGGUCUUCGGACUGAGUAGAGUGGCGCACGGGUGAGUAACACGUAGGUAAUCUACCCUUUGGCGGGGGAUAACGUUCCGAAAGGAGCGCUAAUACCGCAUAAGACCACGGAGUCUCCGGACGCUGUGGGAAAAGGUGGCCUCUUCUUGAAAGCUAUCACCGAAGGAUGAGCCUGCGUCCCAUCAGCUAGUUGGUAAGGUAAUGGCUUGCCAAGGCGAAGACGGGUAGCUGGUUUGAGAGAAUGAUCAGCCACACUGGCACUGGAACACGGGCCAGACUCCUACGGGAGCAGCAGUGAGGAAUAUUGGGCAAUGGGCAAAGCCUGACCCAGCCACGCCGCGUGAGUGAUGAAGGCCCUCGGGUCGUAAAGCUCUGUGGAGAGGGACGAAAACCCUGGUUUCAAAUAGGCUCCA